This 395-nucleotide ribosomal RNA is filed under the name uncultured bacterium. RNAcentral describes it as "bacterial SSU rRNA". It matches the Rfam family "Bacterial small subunit ribosomal RNA", at positions 29 to 426 of the family's 1533-position model. The record is from RNAcentral.
AUUGAACGCUGGCGGCAUGCCUUACACAUGCAAGUCGAACGGCAGCACGGGAGCAAUCCUGGUGGCGAGUGGCGAACGGGUGAGUAAUAUAUCGGAACGUGCCCGGCCGUGGGGAUAACGUAGCGAAAGCUACGCUAAUACCGCAUACGAUCUACGGAUGAAAGCGGGGGAUCGCAAGACCUCGCGCGAUUGGAGCGGCCGAUAUCAGAUUAGGUAGUUGGUGAGGUAAAGGCUCACCAAGCCGACGAUCUGUAGCUGGUCUGAGAGGACGACCAGCCACACUGGGACUGGGACACGGCCCAGACUCCUACGGGAGGCAGCAGUGGGGAAUUUUGGACAAUGGGCGGCAAGCCUGAUCCAGCAAUGCCGCGUGCAGGAUGAAGGCCUUCGGUUGG